GACGAACGCUGGCGGCGUGCUUAACACAUGCAAGUCGAACGAUGAAGAAGAGAAACGCGAACUUCGGUUCAACUUUCACUUCGGAUUAGUGGCAGACGGGUGAGUAACGCGUGAGCAACCUACCUCUUACAAAGGGAUAGCCUCGGGAAACCGUGAUUAAUACCAUAUGACACAUUCAUAAGGCAUCUUAAGAAUGUUAAAGCUGCGGCGGUAAGAGAUGGGCUCGCGUCCCAUUAGCUAGUUGGUGAGGUAACGGCCCACCAAGGCGACGAUGGGUAACCGGCCUGAGAGGGUGAACGGUCACAUUGGAACUGAGACACGGUCCAAACUCCUACGGGAGGCAGCAGUGGGGAAUAUUGCACAAUGGAGGGAACUCUGAUGCAGCGACGCCGCGUGAGCGAUGAAGGAAUUCGUUUCGUAAAGCUCUGUUCUAUGGGAAGAAAAGGACUGUACCAUAGGAGAAAGCCCCGGCUAAAUACGU
RNAcentral lists this ribosomal RNA (481 nucleotides) under uncultured bacterium. RNAcentral describes it as "partial 16S ribosomal RNA". It matches the Rfam family "Bacterial small subunit ribosomal RNA", at positions 28 to 506 of the family's 1533-position model. The record is from RNAcentral.